AAAAGUAGAGGUGCAUAUUUCAAAAGUACACAAGCCAAUGCUAUAAGGAGCAGAAGAAGUUUGUCCAAAGGGGAAUGUGCCGAAGAGGGGACUUGCCUUAUCAUGUUUCUUCUGGUUGUGCAGUUAACAGCUGUAUGACUGUCAUCUUUUUAAAAAGAUGGAGCGCUACA
RNAcentral lists this non-coding RNA (170 nucleotides) under chicken gut metagenome. RNAcentral's name for it is "Lysine riboswitch". It matches the Rfam family "Lysine riboswitch aptamer". From Rfam's summary of the family: Riboswitches are metabolite binding domains within certain messenger RNAs that serve as precision sensors for their corresponding targets. Allosteric rearrangement of mRNA structure is mediated by ligand binding, and this results in modulation of gene expression. The record is from RNAcentral.